AUGGAAGGAGAGGCGGAGGUGGAAGCGGAGGCGAGGGGAAAGAGUGUCGGAGAGGGCAUCAAGCAUGCCACGGGAACCCAGGGAGAUCGGGUUCCUGAGAUGGAAGGGAAGGUGAAGCGGAAGAGCGUCGAAUCCAGGAAGGGCAUCGAACAUGCUGCGAGGAGGAAGCACGUGAAGUCGUUAUCGGAGAUCAAGUCAGCGAUGAAGAAGGUUGCGUCGCGGGAAAACCUCACAAGAAUAAAGCUGGAGACCAAAAACAAAUUGGAUGAAAUAGAGGAGGCCAGAGAGACGGACGAGGCACCACCGAGAAUCUCCAUGGAGGCUGUGAAGGGAACCAUGGAGAGCGACGAGUUGCCAGAGAGGAUUUCCACUUCAGAAGAUACAAAAUUAGAGAUUGACGAAGCCAAGGAGAUGGGAGAGGAAGGCGCGGUGAGGGAUGAGGUGACAAAGUUGGAUAUUGAGGAAUCUGAGGGGAUGGAGGAGAAGAUGCAGACUGGGCCGUUCUUUGAUAUGUACUAUGGCGGCUUGAAAGCGUGUAGGUCCUGGUUCUUCAGCAGUCCCUGCAAAGAUACUAGUGAGUAA
RNAcentral lists this ribosomal RNA (582 nucleotides) under Triticum aestivum (bread wheat). RNAcentral describes it as "partial small subunit ribosomal RNA". Lineage: Eukaryota; Viridiplantae; Streptophyta; Magnoliopsida; Poales; Poaceae. The record is from RNAcentral.